CUGACUCGGAGGGUACUGUGGUCACUUUCUAGAGUGCUCAGCUAGACAUAAACCCUUCCUUGGGAACCCCUCCUGCCCCCUGCAGCUACAGCCACCACUGGAGGGGGCCUCUGUGGCCAUAUAUGCUUCCCCUCACUGAUCAGAUUACCGGACACCUGACCCAAGACGGGCAGCAAUCAGAUUCUCCUGGAAAAUCUGAAGAUGGGACCCACAAUUAGAGUUGGUCAGCUGUGGGAAGCUGAGCUGAAAAGUCACGUAAAAUUGAGGCCAAAGCUGGCACCUUGUCAGACAAAGGAAAGCACAUGCUGACGUUACAGGGGAACACGAACCAUGUGGAGCCAGGGAAGCCAACCUGCAGAGAAUAGGAUGGAGCAGAUACACAGAAGCAGAUCGAUGGCAAAGACCAUGUGGCUCCUGAGAGAAAGAGGGAAGAAGGGCCAGUCCCUGGGAGGUCUGUCCUUCCUGCCUUUGAGCCAACUUGGGUGGAUUUCUCCUUCUUACAACUGAAAGAGCCUUGAGCAGGACAGAGCCAACACAUGUGAUGUCCUAGCCUUGAUCAACAUACUCAGUUUUCUCAUAAGGAAAGCAACCAACUGGGCCCAAUUGGAAAGUGCUUUUUAAAAAAAAAAAACAACAUUUCAAACGAUCCUAUUUUUCUUUUCUGUCCUUUCCUAGUUGAUUACUUGGUAUUCAUCUGCAACAGCAAGCAACUUGAGACCUCCACACGCAGAGGUGUUUUCAUUUUAACGUAUUAAGCUUGCAGGCUAAGGUUCGUGGGCUUCCAGAUGAAUCUCUGCGUAGGUGGUUAACAGAAUGUGAUCUCAGAGCUGACUGACGUGGUGUAAAAAUGACUCCAUUGUUGGCUUUUUGUGGACAUGCUCCUAAUGAACUGAAUUCAAGGUCUCCAUUGCUAUACAUACCAGGCACUUUCCUCCCUUUCAGAGAUGGAAUUUACCUCUGUUCAUCCUACGAGAAUCUGUCAAGGCAACAGAACAGGCCACUAACAUGGCAAACGAGCCCGGACCGGCUUCUCACCUCUUGCCCCGACAGGAGCAAUCUGCAGAUUCCUAGGUGUGCAGAGCAGGGCGAGGCCCGAGUCUCACCCGGCUCCCUGGCCCAGCAUCUAGGAUGCAGCAGGGUGAAAGUCAAUAAAUGUCUGAUGAAAUGCAGUGUCCCCUGUUCUCCCACAUGUACUCCUCUAGCGCAAGGUGUUUCCUCAACAGCAGGACUUAAGAUAUUCUCUAGUCCUCACAUCCAGGGAAGGGGCCUUCGGUUAAUUUACAUCACGCUUCCUUUCGGGCUUGAUUUUCACAUAUACAUAAACAUGCAAAUAUUCAAAUCAUUAACAUACUCUCAUUGUAAAAACACAGACAUAAAGAGAAACUCCCCCUUUCCUUGCCUCACUAUUCUAGUCUCCUCCUCAGAGGCAGCACUGUUAAGAGUUUGGUGUGUUUUGACUUUUUCCUGUGUUUAUAUACAUAUAUGCUUGUGUAGAAAUACAUAUUUUGUUUUGUUUUUAUUAAUAUAAACGGGACCUUACUAUUAACCGUUUUGAAGCUUGCUUUCUACACUUAAGAACACUGAACUCUUUCCAUGUCAGUGUACCUUCAUCCUGCUCAUUCUUUUUAACUGUCGCAGACAUUCCCUGAUACAGAUGAGUCAUAGUUUAAACUUUACCUGUUGAUGAACAUUUUUUUUCUAGUUUUCAUCCUAAUUUUUUUUAAAGCCAGGUUUAUUGAGGUAUACUUUAUCUGCACUAAAAUUUACUUUUUAAAAUGUGCAGAUUAAGUUUUAACACAGUCAUGUGACCACCACCACAACCAGGAUUUCCACUAUGCCAGAAAGUUCCCUUGUGUUUCUUUUCGGUCAACCCUUCCAUGAACCCUCAGCCCCAGCAAACAUGGGUCUGUGUUUUUAUCCCUAUAGUUUUGCUGUUUCCGGAAUGUCAUAUAAAUGGAAGGAUACAGCACGUAGGCCUGAGUCUGGCCUGUUUCGCGUGGCACAAUACAUUAGAGAUCCUUGGUUGUCUUUAUCACUAGAUACUUUGUUUUCAUCGCUGAGAAGUAUUCCAAUGCAUGACUACACCAGUUUGUUUUAUCAAGUCACAAGUUGGUAGACAUUUGGGUGUUUUCCAGUUUUUGGCAAUUUAGAUUAAAGCUGCUGUGAACAUUUGUGUACACGGUUUUGUGUGCACAUAUUAUUCUCAUUUCCUCUGGGUAAAUACCUAGGAGUGGGAUUGCUGGGUUGUACAGUGGUAUGUUUAACUUCACAAAAAAAUGCCAAACUGGUUUUCAAUGUACCUGUCUAAUUUUGCAUUCCCAUGAGUGAUGUGUGAGCGUUUGGUUGCUCUGCAUGCUCAUCAGUGGUGCUGUCAGGUUUCCAAAAUGUGAGACAUUCUGGAAGCAAUCUAACCUCAUCCUGCUGUGGUUUCACUUGCAUUUCCCUAAUGACCAGUAACAUUGAGCAGCUUUUGAUGUGCUUCUUCGGCCAUCUAUACCUUCUUGGUGAGGCGCAUGUUUACAUUUAUUGCCCAUUUUUAAAUUGAGUUGUUUUGCUAUUACUGAAUUUUGAGAGAUCGUCAUACAGUCUAGAUACAAGUCCUUUAUAUGUGUUUUAUAAAUAUUUUCUUCUCUGUAGAAUUCUUAAAGCUCCCUUUCAACAUCAUUGAUGACAGAUUACUUAUUUCUGAAGUGCUAUCAGUGGUUUCAUGCUGUACUGGUGUCUCUUUGGAGACCCACAUUUGAACACGUGGCUGAGUGAAUGCUCACUCAGGUCUCAGCUGUGUCCUUGCGGUGGGGAGGAGGUCACUGGUGGUCUGGAGGGGAAUCAGGCAGUAGGCUAGCUUAAGGAAGGGACUCAUUUGAGAACUGAUUUGGCAGCUUACCAUUGAAUCAUACGUGACUUUUCCAAAGCCUGUAUUUUCUAUUUCCACUGAAUUAACAAAGAUUCCUUAACAGUGUAUCGAACACUUUUGACACAGCUCUAUUCAUUCCUUUCCUAUCCUACAUUCACUCCUCAUGGGAUGAAUACACUAGGCUGAGCCUGCUCUGGGAAACUCAGCUGCUCCAGAUCUCUUAUUUUAUUAUUUUAUUUUAUUUUGGCAAGGAAGAGUGACCUUGAGCUAACAUCUGUUGCCAAUCUUCCUCUUUUUUGCUUGAGGAAGAUUGUCCCUGAGCUGACAUCUGUGCCAGUCUUCCUCUAUUUUGUACGUGGGACACUGCCACAGCACGGCUUGAUGAGCGGUGUGAAGAUCCGCACCCAGGAUCCAAACCCAUGACCCUAGGCCACCAAAGCAGUGUGUGUGAACUUAACCACUAUGCCACUGGGCUGGCCUCUAUUUUAUGUUACUUUUUUUAAAGAUUGGCACCUGAGCUAACAACUGUUGCUAAUCUCUUUUUUUUCCUUUUCUCCCCAAAUCCCCCUAGUACAUAGUUACACAUUCUAACUGUGGGUCCUUCUAGUUGUGGCAUGUGGGACGCUGCCUCAGUAUGGCCUGAUGAGCGGUGCCAUGUCCAUGCCCAGGAUCCAAACCAGUGAAACCCUGGGCCACUGAAGUGGAGCACGUGAACUUACCCACUGGGUCACAGGGCCAGGCCCAUAUUUUUUUUAACUGAAAUAUAUUUGAUAUAUAAUACAGUGUGAAUUUAGGGUAUACAACAUGUUGAUUUGAUAUAUUUAUAUAUUGUGGUAUGAUAGCCAUUGUGGCAAUAGUUAGCACCUCUAUCACAUCACACAAUUAUUUCUUUGUCAUAGUUGGAAUUAAGACCUAGUCUCUUUGGAAGUUUGAUUAUAAUAUUGUUAUAUUUUAUAUAGUUUAUAUAGUUUUAUAUAGUGUUAUAUAGUUGCAAGUCUGUAUCCUUACACAACAUCUCUCUUAUCCCCCAACCUUCUAGCCCCUGGUAACCACCAUUUUACUCUGUUUUUACAAGUUUGACUUUUUCAGAUUCCACAUAUAAGUGAUAUCAUGGAGUAUUUGUCUUUCUCUGACUUAUUCCACUUAGUAUAAUGCCUUCAAGGUCUAUCCACGUUGUUGUAAAUGGCAGGAUUUUGUUCUUUCUCAUGGCUGAAUAAUAUUCCAUUCAUCCAUUGACAGGCACUUAGGUUCUUUCCACAUCUUGGCUAUCGUAAAUAAUGCUGCAAUAAACACAGGAGUGCAUGUAUAUCUUCAAUAUCCUGUUUUCAUUUCCUUUGGGUAUAUACCCAGAAGUGGAAUUGCUGGAUCAUAUGGUAGAUCUGUUUUCAAUUUUUUGAGGAAUCUCCAUAUUGUUCUCCAUAGUGGCUGAACCAAUUUAUAUUCCCAUCAAUAGUGUACAAGGGUUCCCUUUUCUCCACAUCUUUGCCAACACAUGUUAUCUCCUGAUCUCUUAAUGAAAGCCAGUCUAACAGGUGUGAGGUGAUAGCUCAUUGUGGUUGUCAUUUGCAUUUCCCUGAUGAAG
Molecule: long non-coding RNA, 4436 nt
Filed under: Equus caballus (horse)
Lineage: Eukaryota; Metazoa; Chordata; Mammalia; Perissodactyla; Equidae
Description: lncRNA (ENSECAG00000033419.2)
Source: RNAcentral